Molecule: ribosomal RNA, 468 nt
Filed under: uncultured bacterium
Lineage: Bacteria
Description: partial 16S ribosomal RNA
Rfam family: Bacterial small subunit ribosomal RNA
Source: RNAcentral
GACGGACGCUGGCGGCGUGCUUAACACAUGCAAGUCGAACGGAAAGGCCCUGCUUUUGUGGGGUGCUCGAGUGGCGAACGGGUGAGUAACACGCGAGUAACCUGCCCUUGACUUUGGGAUAACUUCAGGAAACUGGGGCUAAUACCGGAUAGGAGCUCCUGCUGCAUGGUGGGGGUUGGAAAGUUUCGGCGGUUGGGGAUGGACUCGCGGCUUAUCAGCUUGUUGGUGGGGUAGUGGCUUACCAAGGCUUUGACGGGUAGCCGGCCUGAGAGGGUGACCGGCCACAUUGGGACUGAGAUACGGCCCAGACUCCUACGGGAGGCAGCAGUGGGGAAUAUUGCACAAUGGGCGGAAGCCUGAUGCAGCAACGCCGCGUGCGGGAUGACGGCCUUCGGGUUGUAAACCGCUUUCGCCUGUGACGAAGCGUGAGUGACGGUAAUGGGUAAAGAAGCACCGGCUAACUACGUG